AGAUUCUUUAUGAGUAUUCUGGAACUUAACAUUGGAAGGUGAUCCACUACUACAGAAGCGAAAAGGGACAGAGAUUCCAAAACCAAAGGAAUGGCUUUACAGGCUCAUACCAAAGCAGAUGGCAGGAUUUGAACCCAGUACCUGAAGUCCAUCACUGAAGCUGGAAACAGGACUGCCGUCUUUUAGCCAUGUCAGGAUGGGUGCAGGGAUGCCUCUUGCUUCGCACUCCAUUCGCACAAGGUUAUUGACCACCGCUGUCACCGUGUCACUGCUGUCAGAGAUUGAUGGUGGGACUGAAAAAAGAAAAUAAAGCCGGAGCAGCUAUGUAAGAGUUAAGAUAAAUCAAAAUGAAAUUAAAUGGGAUGCUUACUUUUA
This is a long non-coding RNA of Gallus gallus (chicken), 375 nucleotides long. RefSeq lists it as uncharacterized. Lineage: Eukaryota; Metazoa; Chordata; Aves; Galliformes; Phasianidae. The transcript has 3 exons. The record is from RefSeq and is a predicted model, not a curated record.